This 532-nucleotide long non-coding RNA is filed under the name Fukomys damarensis (Damara mole-rat). Its description in RNAcentral is "lncRNA (ENSFDAG00000029153.1)". The record is from RNAcentral. Lineage: Eukaryota; Metazoa; Chordata; Mammalia; Rodentia; Bathyergidae.
CUAAGGGUGCUGCAAGUGUGCAGAGGCCUGGUUUCAGCUGGAAGUCACAUGGCUGAGCCCUCCCUCUUCCGCCACCAGCAGUUAGAUGAGCCUGCUGACCAGUGCAGCUUGAAAAGGAGUGAGGAGAAUACUGACUCUCUGCCUCAUGACACUUCUCCUCUACCUUCUAGAAGAAUAUAAGAAAACUACAGCCACCACUGUGGGGCCAAGUACUGAAGGACAGAGGACAGAGUACAGAGUCAUGAGCAAAAGCAGAAAACCUCAUUCUGGAACCUUCACUGCUCUGGUUGUACAGCCCAGGGCAAAUCAGGUAAUCUCCUGUACCAGCGUCUUUUCUUCAGAGAGGGCCUGUCAGUGAGAGGAGAGACCAGCUCAGACUCAGGGCCAGACACAGAAGGAGCGCAGUAGAGGAGAGGGGAGGACCUGAGGAGGACAAGAUGAUGAGGAGGAGCGAGAGGGACAAGGAGGAAAGAGAGAGAAAGAGGUAGGAGGAUGAAUGAGGACAGAUCGGCACAUAGUCCUCCAAAGCAGG